RNAcentral lists this ribosomal RNA (427 nucleotides) under uncultured Alphaproteobacteria bacterium. Its description in RNAcentral is "bacterial SSU rRNA". It matches the Rfam family "Bacterial small subunit ribosomal RNA", at positions 42 to 515 of the family's 1533-position model. The record is from RNAcentral. Lineage: Bacteria; Pseudomonadati; Pseudomonadota; Alphaproteobacteria.
GAAGGCUUAACACAUGCAAGUCGAGCGCACUCUUCGGAGUGAGCGGCAGACGGGUGAGUAACGCGUGGGAACGUGCCCUUUGGUUCGGAAUAGCCCUUGGAAACGAGGAGUAAUGCCGAAUGUGCCCUUCGGGGGAAAGAUUUAUCGCCAAAGGAUCGGCCCGCGUUAGAUUAGCUAGUUGGUGAGGUAACGGCUCACCAAGGCGACGAUCUAUAGCUGGUCUGAGAGGAUGAUCAGCCACACUGGGACUGAGACACGGCCCAGACUCCUACGGGAGGCAGCAGUGGGGAAUCUUGGACAAUGGGCGCAAGCCUGAUCCAGCCAUUCCGCGUGGAUGAUGAAGGCCCUAGGGUUGUAAGAUCCUUUCGGCAGGGAAGAUAAUGACGGUACCUGCUAAAGAAGCCCCGGCUAACUCCGUGCCAGCAGC